UGGCGGUAGUAGCAAAUAUUCAAACAAGCGCUUUGAAGGCCGAAGUGGAGCAGGGUUCCAUGUGAACAGCAGUUGAACAUGGGUAGUUAGGAAGAGCAUCGUG
Long non-coding RNA from Chiroxiphia lanceolata (lance-tailed manakin), 103 nucleotides. RefSeq lists it as uncharacterized. The transcript has 3 exons. The record is from RefSeq and is a predicted model, not a curated record. Lineage: Eukaryota; Metazoa; Chordata; Aves; Passeriformes; Pipridae.